AGGAGCUUGUCAUGUGGUUAAAAUCAAGAUUCACUUGCACGUUCACUCAUACAUGCUACUUCUACUCCUGAAGUACCAUCCACAUAUAUCCACUCAUUUCCAUCUCCAGAACCACCCAAAAAAAUAUUCUACUCCUAAUCCGGGAGAGAAUAGCCAAAAAAAUAUUUCUGUUUUUCCCUUGUGAAAUAAAUGCUCAAGUUAUCUUGUUACUACCACUUGCUAUAUUAUCUCAAGAGAUGAGUGCUCUAAAAAAAGAUACGAGGAAAUAAAAAGGGGCAAGUGCCCGUAACCUUGAAAGGAAAGAAAAAGUGAGACGAGAGGUAAAAAUGGACAAGUGUCCGACAGUAGAAUUAGGGGUACAAGAUACCCACCUGAGACAAAAGAAAAAAAGAAGAGCAUCUCAUUCUCCUCAUAAAGUUUCAGAAAGCAAGGAAGGUAUGUAUCCCUUCAAAGAGCAAAAGUAGAAUUAGACUUUCACCAUUGUUAUCACCAUCAUCACCAUACACCAUUCAUUCGCCACACAUGCACAUCUUGAUUUGACUUAUUGAUUUGUUUCUUUGGAUCCAUGGUUUCACUAUACAAUAAAUGUCUUGUAAGUAUGUAUACUUUAUCUCCCACCUAUG
RNAcentral lists this long non-coding RNA (623 nucleotides) under Sorghum bicolor (sorghum). Its description in RNAcentral is "long non-coding RNA (SBIC_LNC008319)". Lineage: Eukaryota; Viridiplantae; Streptophyta; Magnoliopsida; Poales; Poaceae. The record is from RNAcentral.